CAAGCGCCGAUCGCCGCCACAGCUCCGAUUCCUUCUCUCGCAUGAUUUUCUUUGCGAAUUCACAAACCUCAUCGAUUUUCCCCCUUAGCUUCUUCUCCUUCCCCAAACCUUCGCCUCCUACUUCUCCGAAACCGCCGCUGAGGAUUCAUGAGAUUGAACAGAGCAUUGCGAUUCAGAUAUAUGCUAUAAUACGUAGACGAAACAUGAAAAGCAAUAAAAAGUCAAUGAAUAGCCAGAAAGGGGACUAGCUUACGAGAGUAAUGGAGAAAUUCGAGCUGCCGGUGGGGGAGGGUGGCGCAGACGAAGAUGCGCUGCCGGAAAAGGAGAGCAAUUGAGCGCGAACGUUGAUCGUGGAGUGGGUGGGUAUUAGGGUUUGAUCGGAAGAUCCCCUUUGAUCGAUAAAACAUCUCAUUUAAUAAAAAUGAAAUUACCAUUAUACCAUUUCAUAAUAAUUAAUCUAAAAAUUAUGUUUAUGUGGCCAAUUUUGGACAACUCAUUUAAUAAAAAUGAGAUGCAUUAUAUUCUCAAUUAGACUAAAAAAUCUCAAUUGAUCACAACCCGUAGCCACCAUAUAUAAUAGAAUCAUUUUUGCUAGAGUGAUUUCAAGUUUUGAUAUUUUACCCGUAGCCAGGCAUUUUAAAAAUCGGAACGAAUAUUUAAGUCUUUUUGAAUAGGAAAAUCGAUUUUGCGAAUGUGAAAGGACCGAUGUUUGACUCGAUUUGGCAUCCGUGAUGUCCAGGAGGAGGAUAGGAAUGACUAUAGAGUAAAUUGUAAACCAUUAUUGACUCAUUAACUUGUCAUCAGUUUGUAGUCUGGUUGUUGGCGAGUUAAACAAUAAGACCAAACACGCAUUUACUAAAAA
Salvia splendens (bonfire salvia) is the source of this 862-nucleotide long non-coding RNA. RefSeq lists it as uncharacterized. The record is from RefSeq and is a predicted model, not a curated record. The transcript has 2 exons. Lineage: Eukaryota; Viridiplantae; Streptophyta; Magnoliopsida; Lamiales; Lamiaceae.